UAGCCACUUUCUUCUCCACAAUUCUCUUCCAUUCCAUCCGUUUCUCACAAUUCCACCAUUACGAAGACGAUUUCAAAUUGAAGUCUACAUGUUCCAGGUGUUCAAUUUUAAAUCAAACAUGCCCUUAGUAUCUUCUUAUUUACUAAACUUUGAAUCUUCUUUGCGGCAAUUGGUGAGAUAGAGCAGUGGGGUUGCUGCUAGAGUGGUGAUGGGUGGUGUGGAUUACGGUGGUGGCAAUGCUUUCGAUGUGGCUGGCUGCAAAUCUAAAGACCAAAUUGCAUCAUCCUUGAAGUACUUGAAACAUAACUGAUGACUGGGUUAGUUAUUUGGCAAAUCGAAUUUGAAACUUUAUUGUUGGGUGAGCUAAAGAAGUUGAUUGAAGCAAAUCCCCUGUUUCGCGACAAGUUAAACUUUCAGAACUUAAAGAACUCAAGACUUCGAACACUUAUUAACCAAAGUCUGAAUUGGCAACACCAGCUUUGUAAAAACCAAAGCCGAACCCGGACAACAAAACACUGUUUGUUGAUCAUUCUUGUGGGCAGUCGCAGCCAAACGGUGCACGGGCCCCAUCACCAGUAACUAAUCCAUUAAUGGGCUCUGUACCAAAGCCUGCAGGCUUUCCACCUCUGGGUGCUCACGGUGUAUUUGCCAAACGAGUAGACGCCGAUACUGUCGUUCUGAUGGCGGCCCGAGCCUCUAGAACCGAAAAUCAAGAUGCCAUUGAUGCUGCAAUAAUCGGUAUGCUGGUUGAUCCAAAAGAGCUUGUGGUUCAAUCUCACAAGGUUUUUAGGCGGGAAAACAUGUGAGCAAAAUGGGAGGUGGGAUUCAUUUCUAAAUCAAGUCAGAAUCUGGAUUCAGGUCAAAAUAAAUGGAUCUUAUAUAUGGUCUUUUCCAAACAACAUUACUUUACAACCUCACUUUUCUAAACCCUAGCCUCCCUCUCAUUCAUCGGUGUACUGGAUCCAUCAUCGUCUUGUCCAAAGGAUUCACCAAACAGGUGCGUGCUGGAUAAAAGUUUCAUGAGAAGAUGGCAUUUGAAAGAUAGAACUCCAUGUGAUAACAAAGGUGCAGUGAUCGAUGAAUAUGAUGAGCAAUCAGAUAUAGCAGAACGACUUUGAAUUUGUACAGAAUUUGAGUUUAUUUUGAUAUGCUAUACUAUACAGACAGUGCCUCUCUUUCAUUUCUUUAAAGAUGGAAUGCUAUUGGAAGCUUUUCCUACCCGAGAUAAAGAGCGGAUUAAAGCGGCUAUAGAGAAGCACACAACACCUGCUCCUGCUGCGUCUCAAGACGCCUAGGGCAUUCUGUUUCAGGUUAGGUUAUAUGAAACAAUUGACCAGUAUUUUUUUUGGGAAAAAAGUGUUUGUAAGCGGAUUUGUGAUCCAUGGAUUGAGGUUGAAUUCUCUACUCAGACAAAUGAUUACGGGAAAUGGAGUAAGAUCGAUGGCCGCAAAGGGAGAGUAUGGAGUUAGAAGAAAUGUUGAAGGAUGAACUUUAGCUCAAAAUGGCUUUUUAUGGCUGCCCCACACUCAAUGAUAUAUGGAUGUCACUUUGUUUAUGAUUUAUGAACUGACUUCAAGGAUAUCAAAUUUUAGAUGUUCGUUAAAUCAAAGAGGACUUGCAUCUAUAACAUUUGAUGUGGCAAGACGUGCUACACCAACCGGAUUGAGCUCAUAUUACUUUUAGUAAAUUGUAAAUGUAACAUUAUUUGUCUUUUUUCUUGAUGUUUUUGUAAACGACUUAUAAAGAAAACUUAUCUACUUUGUUACACUUUAUUUGCAUUACUUUUAUUGAUACACUUAUGAUUAAUGUAAUUUAAAUUUUUCAGCCCGAGUUGCCACCCGGGUGA
Molecule: long non-coding RNA, 1846 nt
Filed under: Helianthus annuus (common sunflower)
Lineage: Eukaryota; Viridiplantae; Streptophyta; Magnoliopsida; Asterales; Asteraceae
Description: hypothetical non coding rna
Source: RNAcentral